Molecule: non-coding RNA, 112 nt
Organism: Acanthosepion pharaonis
Lineage: Eukaryota; Metazoa; Mollusca; Cephalopoda; Sepiida; Sepiidae
Source: the annotation of a GenBank genome assembly
UUACGGCCAUGACAAGUUGAAACACCGGUUCCUGUAAGAUCACCGAUGUUAAGCAACGUGGAGACUAGUCAAUUCCUAGAUGGGUGACGUCUUGGGAAUACCAAGUGUUGUA